This 363-nucleotide unclassified non-coding RNA is filed under the name uncultured bacterium. RNAcentral's name for it is "contains 16S-23S intergenic spacer region". The record is from RNAcentral.
UCCCGGUUGGCCCGGGCAGUCUCGUAUGAAAAGACAACAUACGACAAGGGUUGCGCUCGUUGCGGGACUUAACCCAACAUCUCACGACACGAGCUGACGACGGCCAUGCAGCACCUGUCACCAGGUUCCCGAAGGCACAACCACCUUUCGGCGGUCUUCCUGGGAUGUCAAACCUCGGUAAGGUUCUUCGCGUAGCUUCGAAUUAAACCGCAUCCUCCACCGCUUGUGCGGGUCCCCGUCAAUUCCUUUGAGUUUUAAACUUGCGUUCGUACUCCCCAGGCGGAUCACUUAACGCGUUAGCUUUGUGACACAGGGGGUCGAAACCCCAUAUCACUAGUGAUCAUAGUUUACGGCGUGGACUAC